CCUACGGGGGGCAGCAGUGGGGAAUAUUGCACAAUGGGGGAAACCCUGAUGCAGCAACGCCGCGUGAGUGAGGAAGUAUUUCGGUAUGUAAAGCUCUAUCAGCAGGGAAGAGAAAAGAAGGUACCGGAAAAAGAAGCCCCGGCUAACUACGUGCCAGCAGCCGCGGUAAUACGGAGGGGGCAAGCGUUAUCCGGAUUUACUGGGUGUAACGGGAGCGUAGACGGAAAGGAAAGUCAGAAGGGAAAACCCAAGGCUCAACCAUGGGACUGCGUUUGAAACUGUCAAACUAGAGUACGGGAGAGGUAAGCGGCAUUCCUAGUGUAGCGGUGCACUGCGUAGAUCUUAG
RNAcentral lists this ribosomal RNA (346 nucleotides) under uncultured bacterium. Its description in RNAcentral is "partial 16S ribosomal RNA". It matches the Rfam family "Bacterial small subunit ribosomal RNA", at positions 338 to 700 of the family's 1533-position model. The record is from RNAcentral.